GCCUUCGUGGUGUAGUGGUCAGCACACUCGACACGCAACCCAGAGGUCCGUGGUUCGAAUCCGGGCGAGGGCA
RNAcentral lists this transfer RNA (73 nucleotides) under Stegodyphus mimosarum. It matches the Rfam family "tRNA". From Rfam's summary of the family: Transfer RNA (tRNA) molecules are approximately 80 nucleotides in length. Their secondary structure includes four short double-helical elements and three loops (D, anti-codon, and T loops). Lineage: Eukaryota; Metazoa; Arthropoda; Arachnida; Araneae; Eresidae. The record is from Rfam by way of RNAcentral.